Molecule: ribosomal RNA, 447 nt
Filed under: uncultured bacterium
Lineage: Bacteria
Description: partial 16S ribosomal RNA
Rfam family: Bacterial small subunit ribosomal RNA
Source: RNAcentral
AACGAACGCUGGCGGCAGGCCUAACACAUGCAAGUCGAGCGCCCCGCAAGGGGAGCGGCGGACGGGUGAGUAACGCGUGGGAAUUUUCCUCAAGGUACGGAACACCUCAGGGAAACUUGGGCUAAUACCGUAUGAUGUCUAGCGACCAAAGAUUUAUCGCCUUGGGAUAAGCCCGCGUCAGAUUAGGUAGGUGGUGGGGUAACGGCCUACCAAGCCUGCGAUCUGUAGCUGGUCUGAGAGGACGAUCAGCCACAUUGGGACUGAGACACGGCCCAAACUCCUACGGGAGGCAGCAGUGGGGAAUCUUGCGCAAUGGGCGAACGCCUGACGCAGCCAUGCCGCGUGAAUGAUGAAGGUCUUAGGAUUGUAAAGUUCUUUCGCCCGUGACGAUGAUGACGGUAACGGGAGAAGAAGCCCCGGCUAACUUCGUGCCAGCCGCCGCCGUAA